Molecule: ribosomal RNA, 1457 nt
Filed under: uncultured organism
Description: SSU rRNA
Rfam family: Bacterial small subunit ribosomal RNA
Source: RNAcentral
AGGCCUAACACAUGCAAGUCGAGCGGUAGCACAGAGAGCUUGCUCUCGGGUGACGAGCGGCGGACGGGUGAGUAAUGUCUGGGAAACUGCCUGAUGGAGGGGGAUAACUACUGGAAACGGUAGCUAAUACCGCAUAACGUCGCAAGACCAAAGUGGGGGACCUUCGGGCCUCAUGCCAUCAGAUGUGCCCAGAUGGGAUUAGCUAGUAGGUGGGGUAACGGCUCACCUAGGCGACGAUCCCUAGCUGGUCUGAGAGGAUGACCAGCCACACUGGAACUGAGACACGGUCCAGACUCCUACGGGAGGCAGCAGUGGGGAAUAUUGCACAAUGGGCGCAAGCCUGAUGCAGCCAUGCCGCGUGUGUGAAGAAGGCCUUCGGGUUGUAAAGCACUUUCAGCGGGGAGGAAGGCGGUGAGGUUAAUAACCUCAUCGAUUGACGUUACCCGCAGAAGAAGCACCGGCUAACUCCGUGCCAGCAGCCGCGGUAAUACGGAGGGUGCAAGCGUUAAUCGGAAUUACUGGGCGUAAAGCGCACGCAGGCGGUCUGUCAAGUCGGAUGUGAAAUCCCCGGGCUCAACCUGGGAACUGCAUUCGAAACUGGCAGGCUAGAGUCUUGUAGAGGGGGGUAGAAUUCCAGGUGUAGCGGUGAAAUGCGUAGAGAUCUGGGAGGAAUACCGGUGGGGGAAGGCGACCCCCUGGACAAAGACUGACGGUUCAGGUGCGAAAGCGUGGGGAGCAAACAGGGUUAGAUACCCUGGUAGUCCCCGCCGUAAACGAUGUCGAUUUGGAGGUUGUGCCCUUGAGGCGUGGCUUCCGGAGCUAACGCGUUAAAUCGACCGCCUGGGGAGUACGGCCGCAAGGUUAAAACUCAAAUGAAUUGACGGGGGCCCGCACAAGCGGUGGAGCAUGUGGUUUAAUUCGAUGCAACGCGAAGAACCUUACCUGGUCUUGACAUCCACAGAACUUUCCAGAGAUGGAUUGGUGCCUUCGGGAACUGUGAGACAGGUGCUGCAUGGCUGUCGUCAGCUCGUGUUGUGAAAUGUUGGGUUAAGUCCCGCAACGAGCGCAACCCUUAUCCUUUGUUGCCAGCGGUCCGGCCGGGAACUCAAAGGAGACUGCCAGUGAUAAACUGGAGGAAGGUGGGGAUGACGUCAAGUCAUCAUGGCCCUUACGACCAGGGCUACACACGUGCUACAAUGGCAUAUACAAAGAGAAGCGACCUCGCGAGAGCAAGCGGACCUCAUAAAGUAUGUCGUAGUCCGGAUUGGAGUCUGCAACUCGACUCCAUGAAGUCGGAAUCGCUAGUAAUCGUAGAUCAGAAUGCUACGGUGAAUACGUUCCCGGGCCUUGUACACACCGCCCGUCACACCAUGGGAGUGGGUUGCAAAAGAAGUAGGUAGCUUAACCUUCGGGAGGGCGCUUACCACUUUGUGAUUCAUGACUGGGGUGAAGUCAUA